UCUGAAGGCUCUCUGACCCUGCCAUAGACAGCAAGGUAACUACCACGUUCAAGGUCCAGAAAAGCACCAAGAUGAUCAACAAAGCAGUCCGUGUAACAUCAGUGGUUGAACUCUAAAGUUACGAAGCUACGAGAAUACUUUUUUGCGCAAAGAAAACAAAAAUAACGACUUUAUUUCACAUUUUUGUCUCUACCGCAUCACUUUGGACGUGCGUUUACGACGGUACCAUGACGCAAGCGUGUGGCGGUGCUGACCCAGAUCCAGCGUGAUGACGUCACAACUUUAAGUUGAACC
Long non-coding RNA from Sinocyclocheilus rhinocerous, 294 nucleotides. RefSeq lists it as uncharacterized. The transcript has 3 exons. NCBI's taxonomy places the organism in Eukaryota, Metazoa, Chordata, Actinopteri, Cypriniformes, Cyprinidae. The record is from RefSeq and is a predicted model, not a curated record.